Molecule: ribosomal RNA, 223 nt
Filed under: Escherichia coli
Lineage: Bacteria; Pseudomonadati; Pseudomonadota; Gammaproteobacteria; Enterobacterales; Enterobacteriaceae
Description: partial 16S ribosomal RNA
Rfam family: Bacterial small subunit ribosomal RNA
Source: RNAcentral
AAAUUGAAGAGUUUGAUCAUGGCUCAGAUUGAACGCUGGCGGCAGGCCUAACACAUGCAAGUCGAACGGUAACAGGAAGCAGCUUGCUGCUUUGCUGACGAGUGGCGGACGGGUGAGUAAUGUCUGGGAAACUGCCUGGUGGAGGGGGAUAACUACUGGAAACGGUAGCUAAUACCGCAUAACGUCGCAAGACCAAAGAGGGGGACCUUCGGGCCUCUUGCCA